Lagenorhynchus albirostris (white-beaked dolphin) is the source of this 3382-nucleotide long non-coding RNA. RefSeq lists it as uncharacterized. The transcript is spliced from 2 exons. The record is from RefSeq and is a predicted model, not a curated record. Lineage: Eukaryota; Metazoa; Chordata; Mammalia; Artiodactyla; Delphinidae.
AAAAGCAGGAAGGGAGGAUGGAACUGAUUCCUCCUUUGACUCCCAUCACCCUUAAAGUGCAAAUGCCGGAGAGUUCUAUUUAAGGCCAAGAGAGCUUCACCUUAGCUAUAGUCCCAGCCCACCCCUGGCAUCCUCACCCUGUAGUUAAAGUGAAAGCUCCAGUCCCAAAAGGGCCCCGGUCUAGCUCCCUGCAGCCUUUGCCCGUGCAGUUUCUCCUCCCUAGAAUAUUAUUCUUUCUCCUUCUUUGCCUGGAAAAAUCUGUCUUAUUAAUUCCGCUUAGAUAUUCUUAGCUAGUACCUCUGAGAAAUCUUUGCCAGCAAUCUAGUUCUGGGAUUGAUGCCCUUCUCUAAAUUCCCAUGGACCCCUAUACACCACCCUCUUGUGAUGAGAGCACUGAUGACAUUUCCUUUGAAAUUGUCCCAUUACACGUCUGUCUCCCUGACUACACUCUAAGCAUCUGCAGAACAGGAACUGUGUCUUGCUGCCCAGGUAGUCCCUUCACAGUUCCUAACACAGAGCAGUAUGUCCGCUAUCCAUUGCUGUCUAGUAAAUCAACCCAAAGCACACCUUAUAACCCUACUUAUUUGCUCGUGAUCCUGUGGGUUGGCCUUUUGGGCAAAGCUCACCUAGGAUGACCAGCCCCAGCUUGAUGUGGUACGCGUUGGGUUCAAACAAACGUCUGUGGUCAGGGAGCGUGUCGAUUGCGGGGCUGGCUGAUUGUGGAUGGCUUUGUGCAUGUAUCUCGCUGUUGGCUGGGGUGCCUCAGUUCACUUCACGUGGCCUUUCCCCAUAGCUAGCCCAGGCUUUCUCAUUAGGCCUCAUGAGAUCAAAGGGGGAGCAUGGAAACUGCAAGACCUUUUGUGGACUUGCUAGGAAGUCACACAGUGUCGCCUCCACAGCAUUUUGUUGGCCAAAGCAAGUCACAAAGCUAGCCCAGAAUCAAGAGGCUGGGAAACAGACUUCCUUUUGAUGGGAGGAGCUGCAAAGAAUCUGGCCAUUUUUAAACCCACUAAGACUAGGUACUCACUAUUUUUUUGAAUAAAGGACCAAAAACUUACCUAGUUACUGAAAGGCUUCAGCUAUCCAGAUGUAAAUUACUGACCAACCACUGCGUAGAAGUACAACAGUUGUGAGUAAAGCCCCACGCCUAAUGAAAACUAGAGUCAGAAAAAUCCUGAAAUAAUAGUGCUGCAUGGAGCCACAGAGAGCAUGGUUUCUAUUCUUUGCAUUUUGCUGAGGUGUGGAGUGGUCAGGUGGCUUGCCCAUACUCAUGAGGCUUGUUGGGGCCAGAGCCUGGGCCAAACACCAGCCUCCCGCCCUCCAAUCCUAUGUCCUUAUAUAGCCUCCUGCAGGGGAGGGUGAUGCCGUGAAGACAGGCCUUUGGCUUUGGGUUAUUCAUAAAAUGCAGCUGUGCCAUGUACCUGUGCAGGUGAAGGAUACAUACUUUAAUUAACUCAGGCCUUGAGUUGUUAAAUCCUAUCAUUAAAAAAUAAAUAUUUUAUGUGAUAUUUUGACAGUUGAAUGGCUUUAAAAUUUAGAAACUCCAUUCCUAAAUGUAACACCAAGAAUGAUUCUAAAUUAACAGUAAGCAGUAUUUCUAAGAGCUUUUAUUUCCUAUGUAUGUGUGUGUCUGUGUGUAUUGAUGUACUGUGUGUGAGAGUUCACUCAUGGAGAAUCCCUGAAAUGGCUUACUUUGUUCCUAGAGAAAACACUUUUGGGUUUUCAGGUGUUUGUGUAAUGUGUCUGUGUUUUUGUGAUAGAGACAGAAAUCAUUUUUCGUUAAUUCUUUAGCAUAGGAUUUGAAAGCCAUGUUGGUUAAUUCUGCUGUAGAGAGAAAAAUGCAGCUGCCUUUUGGGUUGGUUCUGUUAUCUGAUGUGUUCUUAUUAAUAUCUGAUAAAUAAUUGUAUAAAUUGAUACAUUUCUAGUUGAGAAAUGGUGGGUAACAUGAAGAAGAUAUCCAUGUUUGAGUAGAUUAGAUACUGUCAGCUUCACACUACCUUAUAAAAGGUGAAUGCAUUGGAGUGGUAGCAAUUAAUAAUUUAAAAAUCAUUGCUUUCGGGCCAGAAUUGAGUCUCACGUUUCCAAAUACUCAUUACUUUCAAAUAUGUUGUGAAAAUAAUCUGCUUUUAAGAUCGACUUGAAUGAUGUUGACUAUUCUCUCCCAUUGAAUAUUAAUCCUGUUUCAUUUUGGUCAUACAUGAUCAGAAUAACUCUAGAACAUUUCAGUUUUGCAAAUUGGUUGGAGUCUAUUGGUGUCAUUGACCAUGGUUUUACUCAUUUAAGGCAGAAUUUCAGGUAUAAUAUGUUUGUCCUCAGUUCAAUACCAAAAGGACAAAUCUGCAGUGUACCAAAAGGAAGUUCAUCAUCAAAGUUAGCAUAUGGUAUUGUCAAAUGCAUUAAUAUAUGUACUUAAUAUAUAUGUUUAUUUUAAAAUUAGGUUGAAAUUUAUUUUCUCCAUUUCUUAAAAAUUAUAGCAAAAUACUUAAAAUUAUAAUAUGAAAAUAGACACUAUAGCAUGAAAUAAAUGUUAAAUUUUUAAAACAAUGACUUUAGGGUUCCAGCUUUUUCUGUCUUUUAGAACAAAUUAGCCAUUUUUUUAAUCCUAAGAAAGGGUUGCAUUGUAAAGCUGAUCUACUACUAACCCAUCAGAGAAAACACAUGGGACUCAUAUCUAAUUCUCUAAUGUAGCCAAAAGUGCCAUUUGUAAAACUACUUAAUGAUGGAUGUUUUCUGAAGCUCUUUUGCCUGGAAAAAAAAAAAGUGCAUUAAAAAGCUUUUUCUGUAGUGUAUUUGAUUUGGAAUCAUUUCCUCACUACACAGUUACUGAUGUGUGUUAUGGAAUAGUCUAUAUGGAAAUAUGCUAUGUCGUUGUUUACUAUUUUGAGAGAAUGCUAUUUUUUUGCUUUUUGGUUUUUUUUUCAACUAAUUAGGAAAUCAGUUACACAAUUCAGUAUGUGUAGGGUAGAGGUAUGGAGAUGAGUGGUUAUUCAGACUACGCGCAAUAUUAACCAAAAGGACUUUACAUUUUUCUCUCAUUUAUUCACUUGCUCUUUCAUUCAUUCAAGAAACCUCACUGAGGACCUGUGUUUUGCUGGACAGUAUAUAUAGGCCCUGGAAGUAUAAAACUGAGUAGACUGGACCCUGGAUUCAGCUCAUCCUUCAAGAGUCACUUCUAGGCCUGUCUCCUAGAAGACUUCUCUCCAUGGAGAGGAUGUCUUUGAAACUUUUUACCCUACAACAACUCUAUGAUUUUGAUGAGACAAGGAUUACUGGAAGCCAUGUAACAUCUUCAAAAACACCCAACAAAGAAUUUAUUAAGCACCUACUAUGGGCCUGUAACUAAAUCUUUCCCAAACAGCAGUAAAUAAGAAAGGUCCCAGUC